AUGCUGCACAAGAACAGCAUGGCCUCCCGUGUCUUCCUCAUGGCGCUGCUGUUCUCAUGCAGCUCCAUGAGCAGCACAGCACGGUACCUAGAGGAGGCCGUGCCCAAGAAGGAGUAUCCACCACAUCCUAUCAUCCCGGAGCUGCCAAAGCCCGAACUCCCGCCACACCCUGCCAUGCCCGAGCUGCCGAAGCCUGAACUACCUCACCCUCUCCUGCCCGAUGUGCCACACCCAGUGGUGCCGGAGACGCCAAAGGAGCCUGGAGUGCCACACCCGGUGGUGCCGGAGGUGCCAAAGCCUGAGCUGCCGCUACACCCUGCUAUGCCCGUGCUCCCGAAGCCCGAACUACCGCAUCCGGCUGUGCCCGAGGUACCAAAGGAGCCCGAAGCGCCACACCUCGUCGUACCGGAGGUGCCAAAGGAACGCGAACUGCCGCACCCUAUCGUGCCGGAGGUGCCAAAGGAGCCAGAAGUGCCACACCCCGUCGUGCCAGAGGUGACAAAGAAACCUAAAGUGCCACACCCUGUCGUGCCCGAGGUACCAAAGGAGCCCGAAGUCCCACACCCUGCCAUGCCAGAGUUGCCGAAGCCUGAAAUGCCACACCAUGCCGUGCCAGAGGUGCCAAAGGAGCCCCAUGUGUCGCACCCAGAGGUGCCGAAAGAGCCCGAGUUACCGCACCUUGCUGUGCCAGAGGUCCCGAAGCACGAAAUGCCACCAUUCCCCAAAGCCGAGCUGCCCCCAAAGCCUGAAUUCCACUUUCCGGAACCUGCGGCCAAGCCAUGA
RNAcentral lists this ribosomal RNA (783 nucleotides) under Triticum aestivum (bread wheat). RNAcentral's name for it is "partial small subunit ribosomal RNA". The record is from RNAcentral. Lineage: Eukaryota; Viridiplantae; Streptophyta; Magnoliopsida; Poales; Poaceae.